RNAcentral lists this ribosomal RNA (2899 nucleotides) under Klebsiella pneumoniae. RNAcentral describes it as "bacterial LSU rRNA". It matches the Rfam family "Bacterial large subunit ribosomal RNA". The record is from RNAcentral. Lineage: Bacteria; Pseudomonadati; Pseudomonadota; Gammaproteobacteria; Enterobacterales; Enterobacteriaceae.
UUAAGCGACUAAGCGUACACGGUGGAUGCCCUGGCAGUCAGAGGCGAUGAAGGACGUGCUAAUCUGCGAAAAGCGUCGGUAAGGUGAUAUGAACCGUUAUAACCGGCGAUGUCCGAAUGGGGAAACCCAGUGCAAUUCGUUGCACUAUCGUUAACUGAAUACAUAGGUUAACGAGGCGAACCGGGGGAACUGAAACAUCUAAGUACCCCGAGGAAAAGAAAUCAACCGAGAUUCCCCCAGUAGCGGCGAGCGAACGGGGAGCAGCCCAGAGUCUGAAUCAGCUUGUGUGUUAGUGGAACGGUCUGGAAAGUCCGACGGUACAGGGUGAUAGUCCCGUACACCAAAAUGCACAGGCUGUGAACUCGAAGAGUAGGGCGGGACACGUGGUAUCCUGUCUGAAUAUGGGGGGACCAUCCUCCAAGGCUAAAUACUCCUGACUGACCGAUAGUGAACCAGUACCGUGAGGGAAAGGCGAAAAGAACCCCGGCGAGGGGAGUGAAAAAGAACCUGAAACCGUGUACGUACAAGCAGUGGGAGCACCUUCGGGUGUGACUGCGUACCUUUUGUAUAAUGGGUCAGCGACUUAUAUUCUGUAGCAAGGUUAACCGUAUAGGGGAGCCGCAGGGAAACCGAGUCUUAACUGGGCGUUAAGUUGCAGGGUAUAGACCCGAAACCCGGUGAUCUAGCCAUGGGCAGGUUGAAGGUUGGGUAACACUAACUGGAGGACCGAACCGACUAAUGUUGAAAAAUUAGCGGAUGACUUGUGGCUGGGGGUGAAAGGCCAAUCAAACCGGGAGAUAGCUGGUUCUCCCCGAAAGCUAUUUAGGUAGCGCCUCGUGAACUCAUCUUCGGGGGUAGAGCACUGUUUCGGCUAGGGGGUCAUCCCGACUUACCAACCCGAUGCAAACUACGAAUACCGAAGAAUGUUAUCACGGGAGACACACGGCGGGUGCUAACGUCCGUCGUGAAGAGGGAAACAACCCAGACCGCCAGCUAAGGUCCCAAAGUCAUGGUUAAGUGGGAAACGAUGUGGGAAGGCACAGACAGCCAGGAUGUUGGCUUAGAAGCAGCCAUCAUUUAAAGAAAGCGUAAUAGCUCACUGGUCGAGUCGGCCUGCGCGGAAGAUGUAACGGGGCUAAACCAUGCACCGAAGCUGCGGCAGCGACACUAUGUGUUGUUGGGUAGGGGAGCGUUCUGUAAGCCUGCGAAGGUGACCUGUGAGGGUUGCUGGAGGUAUCAGAAGUGCGAAUGCUGACAUAAGUAACGAUAAAGCGGGUGAAAAGCCCGCUCGCCGGAAGACCAAGGGUUCCUGUCCAACGUUAAUCGGGGCAGGGUGAGUCGACCCCUAAGGCGAGGCCGAAAGGCGUAGUCGAUGGGAAACAGGUUAAUAUUCCUGUACUUGGUGUUACUGCGAAGGGGGACGGAGAAGGCUAUGUUAGCCGGGCGACGGUUGUCCCGGUUUAAGCAUGUAGGCUGGUUGUCCAGGCAAAUCCGGAUAAUCAAGGCUGAGGUGUGAUGACGAGGCACUACGGUGCUGAAGUAACAAAUGCCCUGCUUCCAGGAAAAGCCUCUAAGCAUCAGGUAACAUCAAAUCGUACCCCAAACCGACACAGGUGGUCAGGUAGAGAAUACCAAGGCGCUUGAGAGAACUCGGGUGAAGGAACUAGGCAAAAUGGUGCCGUAACUUCGGGAGAAGGCACGCUGGUGUGUAGGUGAAGCCCCUGCGGGUGGAGCUGAGACCAGUCGAAGAUACCAGCUGGCUGCAACUGUUUAUUAAAAACACAGCACUGUGCAAACACGAAAGUGGACGUAUACGGUGUGACGCCUGCCCGGUGCCGGAAGGUUAAUUGAUGGGGUUAUCCGUAAGGAGAAGCUCUUGAUCGAAGCCCCGGUAAACGGCGGCCGUAACUAUAACGGUCCUAAGGUAGCGAAAUUCCUUGUCGGGUAAGUUCCGACCUGCACGAAUGGCGUAAUGAUGGCCAGGCUGUCUCCACCCGAGACUCAGUGAAAUUGAACUCGCUGUGAAGAUGCAGUGUACCCGCGGCAAGACGGAAAGACCCCGUGAACCUUUACUAUAGCUUGACACUGAACAUUGAGCCUUGAUGUGUAGGAUAGGUGGGAGGCUUUGAAGCGUGGACGCCAGUCUGCGUGGAGCCAACCUUGAAAUACCACCCUUUAAUGUUUGAUGUUCUAACGUUGGCCCCUUACCGGGGUUGCGGACAGUGUCUGGUGGGUAGUUUGACUGGGGCGGUCUCCUCCCAAAGCGUAACGGAGGAGCACGAAGGUUAGCUAAUCCUGGUCGGACAUCAGGAGGUUAGUGCAAUGGCAUAAGCUAGCUUGACUGCGAGCGUGACGGCGCGAGCAGGUGCGAAAGCAGGUCAUAGUGAUCCGGUGGUUCUGAAUGGAAGGGCCAUCGCUCAACGGAUAAAAGGUACUCCGGGGAUAACAGGCUGAUACCGCCCAAGAGUUCAUAUCGACGGCGGUGUUUGGCACCUCGAUGUCGGCUCAUCACAUCCUGGGGCUGAAGUAGGUCCCAAGGGUAUGGCUGUUCGCCAUUUAAAGUGGUACGCGAGCUGGGUUUAGAACGUCGUGAGACAGUUCGGUCCCUAUCUGCCGUGGGCGCUGGAGAAUUGAGGGGGGCUGCUCCUAGUACGAGAGGACCGGAGUGGACGCAUCACUGGUGUUCGGGUUGUCAUGCCAAUGGCACUGCCCGGUAGCUAAAUGCGGAAGAGAUAAGUGCUGAAAGCAUCUAAGCACGAAACUUGCCCCGAGAUGAGUUCUCCCUGAGACUUUAAGUCUCCUGAAGGAACGUUGAAGACGACGACGUUGAUAGGCCGGGUGUGUAAGCGCAGCGAUGCGUUGAGCUAACCGGUACUAAUGAACCGUGAGGCUUAACCUU